RNAcentral lists this ribosomal RNA (492 nucleotides) under uncultured bacterium. Its description in RNAcentral is "partial 16S ribosomal RNA". It matches the Rfam family "Bacterial small subunit ribosomal RNA", at positions 29 to 507 of the family's 1533-position model. The record is from RNAcentral.
AGUGAACGCUGGCGGUAGGCCUAACACAUGCAAGUCGAACGGCAGCACAGUAAGAGCUUGCUCUUACGGGUGGCGAGUGGCGGACGGGUGAGGAAUACAUCGGAAUCUACUUUUUCGUGGGGGAUAACGUAGGGAAACUUACGCUAAUACCGCAUACGACCUACGGGUGAAAGCAGGGGAUCUUCGGACCUUGCGCGAUUGAAUGAGCCGAUGUCGGAUUAGCUAGUUGGCGGGGGAAAGGCCCACCAAGGCGACGAUCCGUAGCUGGUCUGAGAGGAUGAUCAGCCACACUGGAACUUAGACACGGUCCAGACUCCUACGGGAGGCAGCAGUGGGGAAUAUUGGCCAAUGGGCGCAAGCCUGAUCCAGCCAUACCGCGUGGGUGAAGAAGGCCUUCGGGUUGUAAAGCCCUUUUGUUGGGAAAGAAAAGCAGCAGGUUAAUACCCCGCUGUUCUGACGGUACCCAAAGAAUAAGCACCGGCUAACUUCGUG